AGCAAUCAAGAUGUGUACAGAAGC
RNAcentral lists this non-coding RNA (24 nucleotides) under Arabidopsis thaliana (thale cress). The record is from RNAcentral. Lineage: Eukaryota; Viridiplantae; Streptophyta; Magnoliopsida; Brassicales; Brassicaceae.